UAGGGAAUAUUGCACAAUGGAGGAAACUCUGAUGCAGCGACGCCGCGUGAGUGAUGAAGGCCUUCGGGUCGUAAAGCUCUGUCGCAAGGGAAUAAAAAAAUGAAUGUACCUUGCAAGAAAGGAUCGGCUAACUUCGUGCCAGCAGCCGCGGUAAGACGAGGGAUCCUAGCGUUGUUCGGAAUUAUUGGGCGUAAAGCGGGUGUAGGUGGCUUUGUAAGUCAGGUGUGAAAGCCUAGGGCUCAACCCUAGAAGUGCAUUUGAUACUGCGAAGCUUGAGUGUUGGAGAGGAUAGUAGAAUUCUUGGUGUAGUGGUGAAAUACGUAGAUAUCAAGAGGAAUACCGGAGGCGAAGGCGGCUAUCUGGCCAAACACUGACACUGAGACCCGAAAGCGUGGGGAUCAAACA
RNAcentral lists this ribosomal RNA (405 nucleotides) under uncultured Bdellovibrio sp. RNAcentral describes it as "bacterial SSU rRNA". It matches the Rfam family "Bacterial small subunit ribosomal RNA", at positions 355 to 774 of the family's 1533-position model. The record is from RNAcentral. Lineage: Bacteria; Pseudomonadati; Bdellovibrionota; Bdellovibrionia; Bdellovibrionales; Pseudobdellovibrionaceae.